Molecule: transfer RNA, 68 nt
Filed under: Genetta genetta (small-spotted genet)
Lineage: Eukaryota; Metazoa; Chordata; Mammalia; Carnivora; Viverridae
Also listed under: 1 other name
Description: tRNA-Phe
Rfam family: tRNA
About the family: Transfer RNA (tRNA) molecules are approximately 80 nucleotides in length. Their secondary structure includes four short double-helical elements and three loops (D, anti-codon, and T loops).
Source: RNAcentral
GUUAAUGUAGCUUAAAUACAAAGCAAGGCACUGAAAAUGCCUAGAUGAACCGUUUGGUUCCAUAAACA